This is a long non-coding RNA of Frankliniella occidentalis (western flower thrips), 1552 nucleotides long. RefSeq lists it as uncharacterized. The transcript is spliced from 3 exons. NCBI's taxonomy places the organism in Eukaryota, Metazoa, Arthropoda, Insecta, Thysanoptera, Thripidae. The record is from RefSeq and is a predicted model, not a curated record.
CUGCUUUUUGUUUUUAGAAUUCAGUUCUAUUUUUAUUUGGUAAGUCUCAUCCCCUCUUAUCAUUUAGAUACUCUACUUAGUACAAUAAUUUUGAAUGCUUUUCUUUUUUGGUUGCAGCUUCUUCUGUUUUUACUGUUUUGUUUUGCUGUGGGGUCAAGUCUUGUAAAGGUCCCACAUUUAAGGAAUGCAUUUCCAAUUCUACUUGAUUAGGUUUAUCCAAUCAAACCUACUUGGCAUAACCCACAGAGUGAAACUGAUAUUUUGAUAUUUAUUACUAGAGGUAUGUUUUCUUACUUUAAACCUGACACUUAACUUGUCAAGUAAUUUUAGAUUCAUUCCUUUUAUCCAUGUAUGUUUAUUGCCUCAGGCAGACCUCUAUCCUGGUUACAUCAAAAGAGAUUCAAAAAAGGGACCUAAAUAUAGCUUAUGGACAUUUUAGAUAGAUGUAUCAAUGUAGUUGACAUCCUACCUUCUACUUUCGUAUUAAUAAGGAAAUGUCUUUAUUUGUACUCAGCAAGAAAAUAUGCAUUGAAUUUUGAAAAGUUCUAUUUCAAUGAUAAAUUUUUAAUCACAUAUGAAUAAGGAAAUGAAUUAACCAUCAAGACAGCUACCAACUCAAUAGACUAUACAUCUUACAGUAAGUUACUUUGCUUUAUUUUAUUUUUUUACAUCCUGUGCCCUUGACGAACUUUAACUUGAAGGUUUGAAUUCUAUCUCCACAGCGUAUAAGGACUCCUGCACUAGUCCCCAUGUCAUAUGGUAGGCGGUUGAGGGGGACCCACUUUCCUCUCUGGUUCUUCAAGUGGAAUUGAACCUCUCCCAUCCAGGGGGAAGAAAAUACACAUCUUACAGUAAGUAACACUCAAAAGAACUGACAUAUUUUUUUAUUACAGCCAGUUCAGUUGAGAGCUCCAUACCUAAAGAUUUUAAUUCUCUCUCCACAGUCUUGGUAGCUUUGAGGGACUUUCUACCUGUCUCCAGUGGUCUGAUGAUGUCGCCUGAAUGGUCCUAGUUUCCUCUCUGGCUGUCGAGGUGGAAGCGAUCCUUUAGCAUCCAGGGGGAAGAGAGUACUCAUCUUACAUCUUGGUAGCUUCGAGGGACUUUCUACCUGUCUCCAGUGGUCUGAUGGUGUCGCCUGAAUGGUCCUAGUUUCCUCUCUCGCUGUCGAAGUGGAAGCGAUCCUUUAGCAUCCAGGGGGAAGAGAGUACUCAUCUUACGGUAAGUAACACUCAAAAGAACUGACCUAUUUUUUUAUACAGCCAGUUCAGUUGAGAGCUCCAUACCUAAAGAUUUUAAUUCUCUCUCCACAGUCUUGGUAGCUUUGAGGGACUUUCUUCCUGUCUCCAGUGGUCUGAUGAUUUCGCCUCAAUGGUCCUAGUUUCCUCUCUGGCUGUCGAGGUGGAAGCGAUCCUUUAGCAUCCAGGGGGAAGAGAGUACUCAUCUUAUGCCUUGGUAGCUCCUCUCCUGGGUCCAGUCCGCAAUUCGUCGGGUUGUUGUUCUCUAAAGGGCCCCUAUCUCCUCUGUUUCUCACUGAUGAAAUCUAGUUGUUAGG